This 630-nucleotide ribosomal RNA is filed under the name uncultured Russulaceae. Its description in RNAcentral is "LSU rRNA". It matches the Rfam family "Eukaryotic large subunit ribosomal RNA", at positions 47 to 649 of the family's 3401-position model. The record is from RNAcentral. Lineage: Eukaryota; Fungi; Basidiomycota; Agaricomycetes; Russulales; Russulaceae.
UAAGCGGAGGAAAAGAAACUAACAAGGAUUCCCCUAGUAACUGCGAGUGAAGCGGGAAAAGCUCAAAUUUGGAAUCUGGUGGUCUUUGGCCAUCCGAGUUGUAAUUUAGAGAAGCGUCUUCCGCGCUGGACCGUGCACAAGUCUCCUGGAAUGGAGCGUCAUAGAGGGUGAGAAUCCCGUCUUUGGCAUGGAAUCCCAGGGCUUCUGUGAUGCGCUCUCGACGAGUCGAGUUGUUUGGGAAUGCCGCUCAAAAUGGGUGGUGAACUCCAUCUAAAGCUAAAUAUUGGCGAGAGACCGAUAGCGAACAAGUACCGUGAGGGAAAGAUGAAAAGCACUUUGGAAAGAGAGUGAAACAGUACGUGAAAUUGUUGAAAGGGAAACGCUUGAAGUCAGUCGCGUCGACCGAGACUCAGCCUUGCCUCGGCUUGGUGUACUUCUCGGCUUGACGGGUCAGCAUCGAUUUCAAUCCUCGGAUAAUGGCAAGGGAAAGGUAGCACCUUUUUAGGUGUGUUAUAGUCCUCUGUCGCAUGCGAGGGUCGGGAUCGAGGAACUCAGCACGCACCUCAGGGUGUCGGGGCCUUGGCCCACGUUUACGUGCUUAGGAUGCUGGCGUAAUGGCUUUAAACGACC